GCAAGAUCAAUGAAAAUAAAGUGCUUUGUAAAACAAGUAAAAUGUUUAGCCGACGUAAAACAAGUGAAUAAAAGACUAGCCGAAGUGAAAGCAAGUGAAUGAAAACUAGCCGAAGUGAAAGCAAGUGAACGAAAAAAUGAAGUGAAAUAAAUCUAGAGAUACCUGACUUGACGAGCUAAAAAUUUAAGAUAUGGUGUAAGU
Molecule: long non-coding RNA, 201 nt
Filed under: Eutrema salsugineum
Lineage: Eukaryota; Viridiplantae; Streptophyta; Magnoliopsida; Brassicales; Brassicaceae
Description: long non-coding RNA (ESAL_LNC001813)
Source: RNAcentral